ACUUACCGGAUGAGAAAUCGUUACUAAGGAAAUCGGUGUUAAAGUAUUCUGCUUUUUUCCUUUCAGUAACUGGAAUGAGCCCUUUGUCGCCGUAUUUAAACUUGGACCCCAGGUAUCUAGUACAGGAUACAGAUGAGUUUAUCUUGCCCACAGGAGCCAACAAAACUCGAGGCAGAUUUGAGCUGGCCUUUUUUACCAUUGGAGGAUGUUGUAUGACAGGGGCAGCAUUUGGUGCGCUGAAUGGUUUGCGGCUUGGCUUGAAGGAGACACAGAAUAUGGCGUGGUCAAAACCUAGAAAUGUACAAAUUCUAAAUAUGGUGACAAGGCAAGGAGCGUUAUGGGCUAACACUCUGGGAUCUCUGGCUCUACUUUACAGUGCUUUCGGAGUCAUCAUUGAAAAAACACGAGGUGCAGAAGAUGACCUGAACACCAUAGCUGCUGGAACCUUGACAGGAAUGCUAUACAAGAGCACUGGUGGAGUGCGUGGGAUAGCACGAGGUGGCAUCGCAGGUCUGACGCUUACUGGCCUCUACGCUCUCUAUAACAACUGGGAGCACAUGAAGGGCUCCAUAGCCCGGCAGUCCCUCUGAGCAGGGCAGCCAGCGCUGGAUGAAGGACACGCUUGCAUAGUCACCAAUCAAAUCAGUUGCAAGAUCUGUCUGGUGCCCUUUCCUAUUUUAUUUACAAUUAGUGUGAAACUGAAGGAAGCUCUGCUGGGAAAAACCUCUUGACAUCAUGUACCUGGACUGGCCCCUUCCUUUCUGCCAGCCAGUCGCUGGAGAGGCAGCAAGAUUUGUUGGACCUGCAAGUGAGCAGAGUGCCCACAGAGAUAGAGUCUCCCUGACACGCUCACCAGCUCGCCCUGGGCCAGAGCUACGAGGCAUGCUCAAGUCCCAUAGCUGUACCUGCUGCGCUGCCAGUGGGCUGCGUAUUACUGCUGCGGUGUCAGAGCUGGACCUUCUAGCAUGCAGUUUUUUGAGGGCCAUGCCAUCAAAGAAGCUGUCCUACUUACGAGCUGCAGACAGGUGAUGUAGGCACCAGCUGCGCAGCACUAUUGGGUGGGACAUCAGGAAAAUGUGUGCACUUUCAUUCUUGAGCUGCUUUUUCUCUCCCCAUGGGCAUCAGUGAGUUCCUUCUCGCCAUGUUUCUUGUUUGCUGGUUAAUAGGACUUGCACUCCCACACACUGGGCGAUGCUGGCUGAAGGACUGAUAGCCAGUUUGGGGGCUGAUGGUGCGAGAGGGUUGCUCUGGUGUCAGGAACUCUGCAAUGUGUCUUGUAGUUUUGUUAGAGACUUUUUUGGUACUGAAAUAUGACCCAGGAGCUCUCAGCCCCUAACUGAAAUGGGAAAGCUGUGAAGCUUAACGAAUGUCUUUCCUCCUUUAGGUGCAGUGGAGAUACUGUAGGUUGUAGGAUACUUGUAGGAACAAGCUUUUUUAAGUUCAAAGUUACCACAACCUUAAGGCUAGGCUGGCUCCUGAGGCAAUGUAGCAUGUUAUCUGGUCUGCAGUAACCUCAAAUUUCCUGGAAUCGCUUGCCUCGGAGGCAGAGCCGAGUGCAUUUUUCUGAAAUAGCUGUUUCUAGGGCUAUUAAAGGCUUUGGUUCAUAACCUGUUUGUAUAUGGAGUGAUGCAUAGCUUGAGCUAUGAAAUGCAACCAGCACGGAGGCAGCAGCGAGGGAGGGAAGUUGUAAGUGUGGAAUACAGAGAACAUCUUUAUCAAGGCUGACUGCGGUCACAGUUCAACGGCGAACAAUCAGUAUAAAGUUGCUACUUAAAGCUGUGACCAGAAGCAUAUCCGAGUUCAGUAGGAAUAAGAGGAAGUAAAAUCAAGUUGCAAACAGGAUUUGGCAACCCCCUUGCAGUCCUCCCAUGCAGUGUUACAUAAAUGUGAGCACAGGAGACCUUGGCUGUCGUAAAGAGAGAUGUUUUAUCCUCUUGCAGUGCCAGUCAUGGCACCUGGUUUUGCUGAUUGAUCCAAGGUAGCUUUCCAUGCUGUGGCAGCAGGUGAGGGCAUCUGAGAUAACAGGUGUAAUGAAAGCUUUUCGAAUCCUGUAAAGCUGCUUGUGUGUAGUCUUUGCAACAGAGAAAGGCAAUUUCACCAUUCCCUGUCAGCAGGUGACUUCUCUUACAUUUGGGGGAAUUUGUUGAAAAAGCACUAGUCAUGUGGUGGGAAUCUCCAGCUUCCUCAAUGCAGCAGAAGCUGCUUCUGAAAACAGAAGGGAAAUGUAUGCUAGGGCAGAAAAAUGAUCCAGUGUUCAUAGCUUCUUUCCUCUGACUUAACCUGGGACUGCAAAGAGAGAGCGGAAGCCAUUUUUGAUGCUUUAACAGGAGGUUACCCCUGUGCAUAAUAGAUUCUAGAUAGUUAGGAAAUUGGUAUGUUUGAAGUGGAGCUUUGUGUACUCUGUGAGUAUUGGCCUGUGCUGCCGAAUGCCAGGCGCUGCGGGGAUUUUGCACAGAAGCAAGUUGCGAGGAUUCGUUUGGUCCAGAAACUCAGCUGAGGGAGAAGCGGGAGGUAACUGCUCCAGCUCCACAGGGAGAGGAGUAGAACAGAGCAUUUCAGAGAGGACCCCACUCUUCAGUCCAAUCUGAUAAUCUCAGAUUGCUCAAAAGAAGGUCUCCAGGUAUUAUCCAGAGAAGCCAGGAAUAGCAUUCUCUGCUUUUGCUACUCCAUCUUCCUUGUCUUGGGAAGACCUGGUAUUUUUCUACCUGUCUUUGAAAGCCAUACUCAGGAUAUGUGUUCAGGAGUUCUGCAUGUGGCUGCUUCUAACAAAGAACUCUAGUCCAUUCCUGAAAACUGCAUGUGCACACCCACGCAUGAAAUUCCAGGUGUUGGGGUUGAAAGGCUGCCAGGCCCAGCUGCACACCCUCUCAUGAGACUGUUCUCUUAAUGCUACAACGCAGCCUGGAUUAAGUCACUUCUGCCAGUUUAAAGGAAUGGAAAAACCUCAAAGGAGGACUGAAACAUGCAGGGAGUCUGAUGUUCAAAAAGGAACACAAAGGAAAGCAGAGGAGCCAGAAAGGAGCCAACGUCUAAUUGUGCAGCCAGACCAGAGAUGUUCUACAGCCACAGGAGGACUGAAGGCCACUAAAAUCCAUAAACCCUCCUUAAGUAUUCAAGGGUGACAGGAAACAAACAUCAUUCUGUAUUUCCUACAGCAGCUGAUUAAAGGCCGGGUGAUUUAGACACACGAUCCCUGUGCCCAGGGGCUGAUGUGGCGGUGCAGUAACAGACAGGAGUUACCCCUUGGGCGUGCGGCUGGUGCCAGGGUUUCCUGGCUUUGACAGCAGGGCUCCGCGCAACGGCAGGGAGCGGUGAAACGUGGAAGUAGAGCAUGCAAAUCCCAUACAGGGACAGAAGCACGGCAGCAUCCAAACCAAAGUGAACUGUGCAACGUGCCGCAGCGUUUUUUUGUCAACCAUUGUGCAAAGGAGACGUACCACACCUUUGGGUGCAAUUAUUUUUUAAUGGAAAAGACUAAUCGAUGUUUUACAUAAAUAUCAAUUAGUGAUAACAAGUCAGUUGAGUAAGUAAAGGAAUACAUACCCCCAAGUUUUAAAGGCUCAUAAUGAACUGACAAAGUAGCACACAAUGACAACUACAAGGAAUUGUAAGAGGUGGGCUGCACGUCAAAUCACCUUCAUUAAGUUCAACUGCUAAUCAAAUUAGGCUACUAUUGGAGUUAGUCACAGUGCAGUCUUCCCAUGCAGCAACAAGGACACGUUCAAAGGGGAAAGUGAACUUCAGAAACAUCUCUCUGCUUCCAGAAAGAACAGAAGCCUCAAGUGGUCCACUGACAUUAAGCCCUUUCUGGGGUCUGGUUUCAGAUGUGCAGUGUCCCCCUCUCAGACUAAAAACUUACUUUUAAACCAGAUGCACAGGUUCUAUCAGAAGGGAAUGUGUUCACACUGCAAAGUGAUACCAAGGUUGGAUCUUGGUACUAAUUUCUUUUUUACAGUGUUGUGAAGAACUGAAAUCACCUCUAUUCCCAGGCAGGCUGCAGGGAUGGGGAGAAGGGGAGGCUAUAUUUAUAGUCAUUAAGAGCGAUUUGUUAAAUGAGUAGAAGCUGCACCAGAAACUAUGUAACUUCACAGUUUUUUAUGCAAGCUGACAGGCAUGAUCCACAUUUCCAUCCAACAUCUCCACACUCCUUCCUAUAGGCUCAAAACACUACCUAAACAGGUAUUGCUCAUGCUAUGUCUGCAGCUAUAGGGAUCAGUUACUCCGCCCCACUUUCACAUGCAUAACAACAUGGAAAUCCACAGCUUAAGUAUCUUACAAAUGGAUCAGUGGGAGCCACACAGUUUGCCAAGUUAGUGUUUCCCAAUUAAACAGCAUGACAAGGCAUCAAAUUCCCCAAAUAUUACCUUUAAAUAUUAUGUGGCUAAGAUGCCUGCUUUCCAGUGGUUUAACCAAUAAAAGUUCAUUAUUAAUUACCUAAAACUAGCAGAAAUGUACACAUUCCACCUUACAGCUUUUUCAGUGAAAUUCAAAUAGUUAUUAAAUGCUGGGGACACGGUAGGAUCUGAUCUACUGAUGCAUGAAAAUUAACACCCUACCCUGUUCUCUGAAUGGCUCAAAAAUUUGCAAGAAAGUUCUCAUUCAAAACAGAAGUUACCAAUUCUCCUGCAACGUGUCAGGUCCCAUAAAUUCAUGUCUUUUUCAAAAUCUGGACUACACGUACUCAGCCGGGAGACGCACCAAUAGAAGAUACAAAUGAAACCUUUAAAGUGAGCAACUGCUCAAUAAAAGAAAUUGCUUCCAAAUACAGCCUAAGUUAUCUUACAAUCCCAAUAAGCUGGAACCCAACUCAUGACAAAGUUGUAGCAGCUGAAAGAGAAUGGCAACGCUUCUGAAG
This is an RNA transcript of Egretta garzetta (little egret), 4855 nucleotides long. It is a transcript of the gene named translocase of inner mitochondrial membrane 23, with no coding region annotated. NCBI's taxonomy places the organism in Eukaryota, Metazoa, Chordata, Aves, Pelecaniformes, Ardeidae. The record is from RefSeq and is a predicted model, not a curated record. The transcript is spliced from 7 exons.